RNAcentral lists this ribosomal RNA (498 nucleotides) under uncultured bacterium. RNAcentral describes it as "partial 16S ribosomal RNA". It matches the Rfam family "Bacterial small subunit ribosomal RNA", at positions 29 to 523 of the family's 1533-position model. The record is from RNAcentral.
AUUGAACGCUGGCGGAAUGCUUUACACAUGCAAGUCGAGCGGCAGCGCGGGGCAACCUGGCGGCGAGCGGCGAACGGGUGAGUAAUACAUCGGAACGUACCCAGUUGUGGGGGAUAGCCCGGCGAAAGCCGGAUUAAUACCGCAUACGGCCUGAGGGUGAAAGAGGGGGAUCGCAAGACCUCUCGCAGUUGGAGCGGCCGAUGGCGGAUUAGCUAGUUGGUGGGGUAAAGGCCUACCAAGGCGACGAUCCGUAGCGGGUCUGAGAGGACGACCCGCCACACUGGAACUGAGACACGGUCCAGACUCCUACGGGAGGCAGCAGUGGGGAAUUUUGGACAAUGGGGGCAACCCUGAUCCAGCCAUUCCGCGUGAGUGAAGAAGGCCUUCGGGUUGUAAAGCUCUUUCGGCAGGAACGAAACGGUCUUUUCUAAUACAAGAGGCUAAUGACGGUACCUGAAGAAGAAGCACCGGCUAACUACGUGCCAGCCGCCGCAGUAA